Non-coding RNA from Prunus mume (Japanese apricot), 2241 nucleotides. The record is from RefSeq and is a predicted model, not a curated record. NCBI's taxonomy places the organism in Eukaryota, Viridiplantae, Streptophyta, Magnoliopsida, Rosales, Rosaceae.
GUAUAAUUAAUAAGAUUACGCAGAAAGGAAUUAGCAUCCAGAAAGUGAAGCUGCAAAGGUAAAGGGUAAAGGUGAAGCCACUGACAGAGUGAUAAGCCAUUAAAAAUUGUUCGAGCCCAAACAAAGAUUCCCACUAGGAACGACUUUCUUUGGUCUGCGUUCUCAGCCUCAGGUCUUUUCUAUAAAAUUAUCAUCUUUCUGCGACUUCGGUAUUUGGUGUGUCACCUGAUUCUUGCAAUGUGUUUGUUUGAUCAAGCUGAUUCUUGCAAAUCUUAUCUCCUCAAUUGGUAACUGUGAGGAGCUGAAUCUCAAUCAACACCAAGACAUGGAAGUCAUUUUAGAGAAAAAAGACGCUGGUGAUUGGAUUUACAGAGGCGAAGGCGCUGCCAAUCUUGUUCUCGGUUACAACGGAUCCACCCCCGCUUUUAUUGGGAAAGUAAUGCGUCUACAGAAAGCUCCAGUUAAUGGGUCAAAGUCCAUGAACAGUCCCACUGCAUUAACCGUGCAUGAACGUCUUCUGUGGAAGGACACGGAGGACAUUGUAGCUACCUCUAACAAAGAACUCGCUUGUCAACUGUUUGUGAAGCACAUCAUGAGCCCUCUAUUGGGUUCCACAUACGUUGAUUCCGGGAUGCGUGUCCUUGCUUCCAAGGAAUUCUUGGAGUCGGUUGAGAAGAACAUAAUUUCUCAGCGUCCUGCUUCUCGAGUUGACGCCGCUAAAGUUGACACACAAUGUGAUUCUGUCCUUCUUAUGUCUGAUCAUUCUCUUUUUCCUCGUGGUACUCAUGAAGUUGAACCCUGUAUAUCUGUGGAGAUAAAGCCAAAAUGUGGAUUUCUGCCAUCUUCAAAGUUCAUUGAUGAAGGAAAUGCCAUUAAACGGAGCAUUACUCGUUUUCAGAUGCAUCAAGCUCUGAAGUUGCAUCAAGGAGAGGUAUCAGAAUAUAGUGAAUAUAAUCCACUUGAUAUGUUCUCUGGAUCCAAGGACAGAAUACAUAAAGCUAUCAGGGAUCUCUUCUCAACCCCGCAGAAUAACUUCCGUGUGUUCUUGAAUGGUUCUCAAAUAUUUGGGGGUUUAGGUGGUGGUGCAGACAGUACCAAUUUUGUGACUCGAGGAAAAUUUGAAGAUGCACUCAAGUGUGUCAUUCAGGGAGGUGAUGGCUUGCGCACAAUGAGUUUUCUACAGCUUGUUGCUGAAACAGUUCAUAAUUCUGGAGUGUUGGAUCGGCUCCUUGAGGUCCAGAAACUUGAUAACCUUGACAUUGAUGGGGCUAUCCAUGCGUAUUAUGACAUUGUUUCAGAGCCUUGCAUGGUAUGCAGAGCAUUCGGUAAAGAAAAAAUGUCACAGAGAUAUCUUUCAUUGCAUUCCAUCUCUUUGGAUGAAAGCUUGAAGAUUGUGAAGGACUUUUUGAUAGCUGCUACUGCGAAGGACUGCAGUUUGAUGAUUAGUUUUAGACCAAGGAAAGAUGGGAAUACAGGAUCUCCAUAUAAUAAUUUGUAUCUAGAAUCAAGCAACCAAUUUUUUGAUUACAAGGUGAAUUUCAUUGACCUGGAUUUGAAACAAUUGAAGAAAAUGGAAGAAUAUUAUGAGUUGGACAAAAAAAUAGUAACCUACUACAAUCGAAUGGUGGAAACUGAGGAAAGACAAAAGAAAAAUACAAGCACAAUGGCUCUUAAAACUGCAAAUUGAGAUUUGUUACAGUGCCAUGGGGGAUACUUUACUUCAAAUUAUGAGGAAAGUGAUGUAUCAACUAACUUCAGUGUGAUUCCAUCAAAGCCCACAUGGCCUAUUAAUUCAGACAGUUGGAUUUUCACAUUGUGGUAUUAGUACUACUAUAGAAAAGAAGAAAAAAAGACCAGGGCAUCCUUGGUAUUUUCUAAUUGAAAAUGCGUCUGCUUUAGCAACGGUAAACAUAAGGUUCUUACAGUUUUGAACAAUGGAACCAAACACAUUUAGUUUUUAGCAGUAACUUAUGACAUUUUCCACUUCUGUCUGAUGUACAAAGUGUGAUUUGGAGUUCUUUUUUGUAACUACAUUGCUAAACCACGAACAUUCAAAAGAAAUGAUUUGGAAGAAUCAAUGAGCCUGAUGCUGAGACAUGUUUCUAGACCAGCGGUAAGACUAAUAUGGAAGGCUCUGUGAACUCUGGUAGUUCAGCUUUGGUAUUUUGAUCAGCUUUAUAUGUGGAAUAUAAAGGCCGUGGGUUGGCUACAUCAUGUGCUGAACAAUGACCUCCUGAGCUG